This 253-nucleotide ribosomal RNA is filed under the name uncultured bacterium. RNAcentral describes it as "partial 16S ribosomal RNA". It matches the Rfam family "Bacterial small subunit ribosomal RNA", at positions 524 to 776 of the family's 1533-position model. The record is from RNAcentral.
UACGGAGGGUGCAAGCAUUAAUCGGAUUUACUGGGCGUAAAGGGCGCGUAGGCGGGUAGGCAAGUUAGAUGUGAAAUUCCGGGGCUUAACUCCGGAGCGGCAUCUAAAACUACUUAUCUUGAGGAUGGACGGAGAAAACGGAAUUCCACAUGUAGCGGUGAAAUGCGUAGAUAUGUGGAAGAACACCGGUGGCGAAGGCGGUUUUCUAGUUUAUUCCUGACGCUGAGGCGCGAAAGCAAGAGGAGCAAACAGG